GUCGAACGGCAGCACGGGGGCAACCCUGGUGGCGAGUGGCGAACGGGUGAGUAAUACCUAGGAACAUGUCCAGUAGUGGGGGAUAACGCAGCGAAAGCUGUGCUAAUACCGCAUACGCCCUACGGGGGAAAGCGGGGGAUCUUCGGACCUCGCGUUAUUGGAGUGGCCUAGGCCUGAUUAGCUAGUUGGUGAGGUAAAGGCUCACCAAGGCGACGAUCAGUAGCUGGUCUGAGAGGAUGAUCAGCCACACUGGAACUGAGACACGGUCCAGACUCCUACGGGAGGCAGCAGUGGGGAAUUUUGGACAAUGGGGGAAACCCUGAUCCAGCCAUUCCGCGUGAGUGAAGAAGGCCUUCGGGUUGUAAAGCUCUUUCAGGAGGGAAGAAACGGUUGCAGCUAAUACCUGCGACUAAUGACGGUACCUUCAGAAGAAGCACCGGCUAACUACGUGCCAGCAGCCGCGGUAAUACGUAGGGUGCGAGCGUUAAUCGGAAUUACUGGGCGUAAAGCGUGCGCAGGCGGUUUUGUAAGUCAGAUGUGAAAGCCCCGGGCUCAACCUGGGAACUGCGUUUGAAACUACAAGGCUAGAGUGUAGCAGAGGGGGGUAGAAUUCCACGUGUAGCAGUGAAAUGCGUAGAGAUGUGGAGGAACACCGAUGGCGAAGGCAGCCCCCUGGGAUGACACUGACGCUCAUGUACGAAAGCGUGGGUAGCAAACAGGAUUAGAUACCCUGGUAGUCCACGCCCUAAACGAUGUC
This 757-nucleotide ribosomal RNA is filed under the name uncultured Pseudomonadota bacterium. RNAcentral describes it as "bacterial SSU rRNA". It matches the Rfam family "Bacterial small subunit ribosomal RNA", at positions 61 to 813 of the family's 1533-position model. The record is from RNAcentral. Lineage: Bacteria; Pseudomonadati; Pseudomonadota.